Molecule: long non-coding RNA, 786 nt
Organism: Musca domestica (house fly)
Lineage: Eukaryota; Metazoa; Arthropoda; Insecta; Diptera; Muscidae
Exons: 2
Source: RefSeq, a predicted model, not a curated record
UCGAAAUCAGAAUUUGCAAAGUCAACUGUCAAAAUUGCUCUCUUUACUCGCUUUUGGUACAAAAUAUUGCAUAAUAUUAGUUUAUCGUAUUUAUCUUUUAAAAACCGGCGCUCCGCUACAUUUUUAAUUUAAUUGGCAAUGUUUAUUACCCGACGAAAUUAUAUUACGCAUUACGUGUUUCCAAAUUCGUAUGCAAAACUGCUACAAAAGUUAUAAAUCCGUGUCUGCGAAUUUGAGAUAAUUUUCCUGUAGAAAGUUCUGUAAAAAUAUUCGAUUUUUGAAAAGUUUUGAAAAAUUCAGAAGAAAAUGUCGAUUUUUUUUUGAAAUUAUUUAUCAUACAAAUUUCCGAAAUCCUCAAAGGCAUGGUACAUAAACGUCCAAGGAAAAAGACGGCAGAAUUCGAGUGCAGUGAUUCUGAUGUCAUAAUACCAUGCUGCUGAUUUUGAAAUUCUCUGUAAUUUUGAUAUUUGUUUUAGUUUUUUUUUUUUUUUCGAAAAUCCUAACGUUUUCUUUUUUUUAAGGAUACGACAAACGGCUAAGCAUGUGCGCUAACAUUGAGACUCUUAGAAGAUGUUUGGGAUAUUUUUCCAGAUUUUUUUAAAAAGCACUGAAAAUGUACAGAAGAUCUUAAAAGAAAUAGACGGCAAAAUUGUUGGCGAGCUACACGCGGAUUGCAAAUAUUCAAUGUACAAAUGUUCAAUGGUUAACAAUUUAAAUUUUGGCAGAACUUGUUUUUUGUGUUGAAAAUUAAAUAUAAUAAAAAUGAUAUAAAAAAACUGCAACAAA